This 2233-nucleotide long non-coding RNA is filed under the name Homo sapiens (human). RNAcentral's name for it is "non-protein coding lnc-PPARA-1:2". Lineage: Eukaryota; Metazoa; Chordata; Mammalia; Primates; Hominidae. The record is from RNAcentral.
GGUCCUCUGCGCGGGAUGUGGCUCUGAGCUUCGGGGUAGUCCGCGAGGCUGGGUUCCGUGCUGAGGGGCGUCGCGUCUGGCCGUGCGCUGCGGGAGCGCGCGGGCCUGGCCCGCUGUCCUGGCCGCUGCGAGGCGCUCAGCUUCUUUCUGAGUGUUCCGCCGGGUUCGACAGGGUCGAGGUCGCCGGCGCGAGGCUCCCGGAUAGCUGAGGGGCGCGAGGGCGCCUCCAGUCUCCCACCUGCCCUCCCGCGCCGCGGACUAGGCUGCCAGUCUACCCCACCGGGACGUCUGCCCCCGCAUGCAGGAGGGGGUGUGUCGGCCCAACGGGGUCUCAGGACCUGUCCCUGCUCCUCCAAAGCCCACGUCGCCUGCGGCGCCCCUCGGGUCUGCGCCGCGUUCUCCUUUAGCCUCCCGGGCCUCUCCGCUGCCCCUCGCCCCCAGGCACCAGCCACACCUGCUUCCUUCUGUUCCCGCCCGUGGCCUCUGACACGCCGUGCCCUGGACCCGAAAUGCCCGCCCCACUCCUGGAGCCUCCGGUGUGUGAGAGGCACCUUUCCUUGGGGUCAGGGGCCCGGACUCUGAAGCCGGCCUGGCUUUGCCUGUGGGCCCCGAUCCUCCCAGCUCGAGUCCCUCGCCCCAGCCGCCGCGGGCCUUCACCUGUGCUUUGGGGACGACAGGAUGGCCACCCUCCUUCCCCCAAAGAUUUGAGGGUUUUGCUCCACGCGGGAGAAGGUCUGCCUGUGCCACCAGCCGGCAGCCUUUCACAUGCUGUUGCGUUACGGGGCCCUCUGUGACCUUUCCCUAGGCCGAGGGGUGCUUCGUCUCUGUUCCUGAGAGACCAGAAUUUAUUCUUGGUUUGUCAAGCCACAUCUGUAGGAAUGUUGCCCAGUUGCAGCAGGCUGGGGUCUGGGACUUGCUCCUUUGGCGAAUUGAGAAGUAAGGAUAUAGAAGGCAUUUUAGCACUAAUGGAAACCAGAACCACUCUUAGACCUGGGCAAGAGGGGCCCCAGAAAUUAGCAAGCGAUUAGCAAGCAGCUGGAUUUCGAUGACCUCCACUGUACUUAGAGCAACGGCAUUCGAUUCGUUGGAUCAUUUCAAAGAUGACAUACUGGGUUGUUUGUUUGUUUCUGGCGGUGUCUAAAGAUGGAACAUCUUGAAGCAUUUUGAAUUUGACCUGUGGCUACCCUCAGAUACAAUGAUGGUAACCCCAUGAGUGCUGUUAAAGCAAUUUGACUUAUUGUAGACAGGUUAACACAUGAGAUGCGUUAAAAGAGUUAAGUGAAAUAAUAGGCAGCAUUCAAAGAGCAAAUCGUGGUCUUUGGCAGAAAAUAGAGUUAAUUUUGUAUUUGAGCUGUCCAGUUAUUACAAUUAGAAAACGUUUUAAAGAAUCCAAAAGGAUUUAAAAUAUUGCAUAAAGUUUUAGGAGAAAAUGGUUUCCAAAAAGCAACUGCAUAUGAAAUAAGCACUAAAAUGACAUUAAAGUACAAUGUAAGAAAAUCGGAACUAGAAGCAUUUGCUGGAGUCUGAAGAAAAAGAUUUAUGGAUGAAUGAUUCUGAAACUAACUUCUAUAGAGACAAUUUUCCGGCGAUGGUAGAUCAAGGUGUAGAUUGUACUGAAGAGAGAGAUUCAAACAAAGUGAGUAAUCUACCGCAGUUUUCAGUUUUCUUGGUAAUACCCCAACAACGUAAAAGAAAAACGUAAGAAAUCCUGUAUGGAUCUAAAUGUAAGAAACGAUGAUAAUGGUGAAAUAAUAACAUUAUUUUAUAUAAUGAAAAUAUUGUGUAAUAUUUUCUGCAAUCAUAAUUUUUCAUAUGCACCCUUUCUACACUGUUUAAACAUGAUAUCAACAGUCAUGAUUCAGUUCUACAUAUAACGCUUUAAGAAUUUAUUCAUAAUUCGUUACCACUCAGCAGAGUCAAGUUUCUCCCAAUUGAAAUAACUAAAAACUAUCUGAAAGUAUACUGACUCAGGAAAGUUUGUCUAAUUUGGCACUACUGUCAAAAGAAUGCAAUUGCGUGAAAAUCUUCAUUAGUCAUUCUUCUGAAAUGAAGACAAGAGAAACAUUUAUAGAAGAAAUAACAUAAUUUAUGGAUUAUGUGAUUAUGUAUGUCUUUAUUACCCAUCCAAGCAUUAGUGGCCCAUCAACAUAAUACCUAGAGAUACACAAUAAAAAUUAGCUAUCUUUAAUAUUUUGCCAAUUUUCAGCUAUAUUAAAACCAUAGUUUUACACAU